Molecule: long non-coding RNA, 221 nt
Filed under: Lathyrus oleraceus (garden pea)
Lineage: Eukaryota; Viridiplantae; Streptophyta; Magnoliopsida; Fabales; Fabaceae
Description: Pisum sativum (pea) long non-coding RNA (PSAT_LNC038406)
Source: RNAcentral
AAACUUCUUCAGACUUUUUCACCAUUUUCCAUUGAAUUGCUUCAUUCUUUUUGCUGUUUCUUGUGUGAUCUCUCUUCUGCAGGACCUUGUGAAGAACUGUUGAUCAAAACCUUGGAUAAAGCAUCGAGGAAUUGGAACUGUUGCAUCCAAGAACAUUCAUGGCAGUUUGAAGAUUCUACAAUCUGGAGCUGUUUUGAACUGAAAGAACUCUUACAUUCAUC